GCCCGGCUAGCUCAAUUGGUAGAGCGUGAGACUCUUAAUCUCAAGGCUGCGGGUUCGAUCCCCGCGUUGGGCU
This is a non-coding RNA of Amylocarpus encephaloides, 73 nucleotides long. The record is from the annotation of a GenBank genome assembly. NCBI's taxonomy places the organism in Eukaryota, Fungi, Ascomycota, Leotiomycetes, Helotiales.